Molecule: ribosomal RNA, 497 nt
Filed under: uncultured bacterium
Lineage: Bacteria
Description: partial 16S ribosomal RNA
Rfam family: Bacterial small subunit ribosomal RNA
Source: RNAcentral
GAUGAACGCUGGCGGCGUGCCUAAUACAUGCAAGUCGAGCGAACAGACGAGGAGCUUGCUCCUCUGACGUUAGCGGCGGACGGGUGAGUAACACGUGGAUAACCUACCUAUAAGACUGGGAUAACUUCGGGAAUCCGGAGCUAAUACCGGAUAAUAUAUUGAACCGCAUGGUUCAAUAGUGAAAGACGGUUUUGCUGUCACUUAUAGAUGGAUCCGCGCCGCAUUAGCUAGUUGGUAAGGUAACGGCUUACCAAGGCGACGAUGCGUAGCCGACCUGAGAGGGUGAUCGGCCACACUGGAACUGAGACACGGUCCAGACUCCUACGGGAGGCAGCAGUAGGGAAUCUUCCGCAAUGGGCGAAAGCCUGACGGAGCAACGCCGCGUGAGUGAUGAAGGUCUUCGGAUCGUAAAACUCUGUUAUUAGGGAAGAACAAAUGUGUAAGUAACUAUGCACGUCUUGACGGUACCUAAUCAGAAAGCCACGGCUAACUACGUG